UUGGCGUUAGGGUUAAAAUCACUGUCCAAAACCUUUGUAGGAACUCUUUUCCAACCUUUUGGAGUUAGUUAGACCAAAAAAAUGAAAAAUGAAAAAAAAAAUAUUUGGGGUUUACGGGCUUCCUGAUUGUAAUACCCGGGUAUUAGAUUUUAAGGCUAGGGUAAGGUUUAAGUUUUUUGGCAUUAGGGUUAAAAUCACUGUCCAAAACCUUUGUAGGAACUCUUUUCCAACCUUUUGGAGUUAGUUAGACCAAAAAAAAAAAAAGAAAAAUGAAAAAAAAAUAUUUGGGGUGUUCAGGCUUCCUAAAAGUAAUACCCGGGUAUUAGGUUAUGGGGCUAUGGUAAGGUUUAAGUUUUUUGGCGUUAGGGUUAAAAUCACUGUCCAAAACCUUUGUAGGAACUCUUUUCCAACCUUUUGGAGUUAGUUAGACCAAAAAAUAUGAAAAAAGAAAAAAAUAUUAUUGGGGGUUUUCGGGCUCCCUGAAAGUAAUACCCGGGUAUUAGGUUUUGGGGCUAUGGUAAGGUUUAAGUUUUUUGGCGUUAGGGUUAAAAUCACUGUCCAAAACCUUUGUAGGAACUCUUUUCCAACCUUUUGGAGUUAGUUAGACCAAAAAAUAUGAAAAAAGAAAAAAAUAUUAUUGGGGGUUUUCGGGCUCCCUGAAAGUAAUACCCGGGUAUUAGGUUUUGGGGCUAUGGUAAGGUUUAAGUUUUUUGGCGUUAGGGUUAAAAUCACUGUCCAAAACCUUUGUAGGAACUCUUUUCCAACCUUUUGGAGUUAGUUAGACCAAAAAAAAAUGAAAAAUGAAAAAACAAUAUUUGGGGUUUUCUGGGUUCCUGAAUGUAAUACCCGGGUAUUAGAUUUUAAGGCUAGGGUAAGGUUUAAGUUUUUUGGCAUUAGGGUUAAAAUCACUGUCCAAAACUUUUGUAGGAACUCUUUUCCAACCUUUUGGAGUUAGUUAGACCAAAAAGUAUGAAAAAAGAAAAAAUAUUAUUGGGGGUUUUCGGGCUCCCUGAAAGUAAUACCCGGGUAUUAGGUUUUGGGGCUAUGGUAAGGUUUAAGUUUUUUGGCGUUAGGGUUAAAAUCACUGUCCAAAACCUUUGUAGGAACUCUUUUCCAACCUUUUGGAGUUAGUUAGACCAAAAAAUAUGAAAAAAGAAAAAAAUAUUAUUGGGGGUUUUUCGGGCUCCCUGAAAGUAAUACCCGGGUAUUAGGUUUUGGGGCUAUGGUAAGGUUUAAGUUUUUUGGCGUUAGGGUUAAAAUCACUGUCCAAAACCUUUGUAGGAACUCUUUUCCAACCUUUUGGAGUUAGUUAGACCAAAAAAAAAUGAAAAAUGAAAAAACAAUAUUUGGGGGUUUUCUGGGUUCCUGAAUGUAAUACCCGGGUAUUAGGUUUUGGGGCUAUGGUAAGGUUUAAGUUUUUUGGCGUUAGGGUUAAAAUCACUGUCCAAAACCUUUGUAGGAACUCUUUUCCAACCUUUUGGAGUUAGUUAGACCAAAAAAAAAUGAAAAAUGAAAAAACAAUAUUUGGGGUUUUCUGGGUUCCUGAAUGUAAUACCCGGGUAUUAGAUUUUAAGGCUAGGGUAAGGUUUAAGUUUUUUGGCGUUAGGGUUAAAAUCACUGUCCAAAACCUUUGUAGGAACUCUUUUCCAACCUUUUGGAGUUAGUUAGACCAAAAAGUAUGAAAAAAGAAAAAAAUAUUAUUGGGGGUUUUCGGGCUCCCUGAAAGUAAUACCCGGGUAUUAGGUUUUGGGGCUAUGGUAAGGUUUAAGUUUUUUGGCGUUAGGGUUAAAAUCACUGUCCAAAACCUUUGUAGGAACUCUUUUCCAACCUUUUGGAGUUAGUUAGACCAAAAAAUAUGAAAAAAGAAAAAAAUAUUAUUGGGGGUUUUUCGGGCUCCCUGAAAGUAAUACCCGGGUAUUAGGUUUUGGGGCUAUGGUAAGGUUUAAGUUUUUUGGCGUUAGGGUUAAAAUCACUGUCCAAAACCUUUGUAGGAACUCUUUUCCAACCUUUUGGAGUUAGUUAGACCAAAAAAUAUGAAAAAAGAAAAAAAUAUUAUUGGGGGUGUUCAGGCUUCUUAAAAGUAAUACCCGGGUAUUAGGUUAUGGGGCUAUGGUAAGGUUUAACGUUUUGGCGUUACGUUUAAAAUCACUGUCCAAAACCUUUGUAGGAACUCUUUAACAACCUUUUGGAUUUAGUAAGACCAAAAAAAAAUGAAAAAUUAAAAAAAAUAUAUUUGGGGUUUACGGGCUUCUUGAAUGUAAUACCCGGGUAUUAGAUUUUAAGGCCAGGGAAAGGUUUAAGUUUUUUGGCGUUAGGGUUAAAAUCACUGUCCAAAACCUUUGUAGGAACUCUUUUCCAACCUUUUGGAGUUAGUUAGACCAAAAAAUAUGAAAAAAGAAAAAAAUAUUAUUGGGGGUUUUCGGGCUCCCUGAAAGUAAUACCCGGGUAUUAGGUUUUGGGGCUAUGGUAAGGUUUAAGUUUUUUGGCGUUAGGGUUAAAAUCACUGUCCAAAACCUUUGUAGGAACUCUUUUCCAACCUUUUGGAGUUAGUUAGACCAAAAAAUAUGAAAAAAGAAAAAAAUAUUAUUGGGGGUUUUCGGGCUCCCUGAAAGUAAUACCCGGGUAUUAGGUUUUGGGGCUAUGGUAAGGUUUAAGUUUUUUGGCGUUAGGGUUAAAAUCACUGUCCAAAACCUUUGUAGGAACUCUUUUCCAACCUUUUGGAGUUAGUUAGACCAAAAAAAAAAAGAAAAAUGAAAAAAAAUAUAUUUGGGGUGUUCAGGCUUCCUAAAAGUAAUACCCGGGUAUUAGGUUAUGGGGCUAUGGUAAGGUUUAAGUUUUUUGGCGUUAGGGUUAAAAUCACUGUCCAAAACCUUUGUAGGAACUCUUUUCCAACCUUUUGGAGUUAGUUAGACCAAAAAAAAAUGAAAAAUGAAAAAAAAAAUAUUUGGGGUUUACGGGCUUCCUGAAUGUAAUACCCGGGUAUUAGAUUUUAAGGCCAGGGAAAGGUUUAAGUUUUUUGGCGUUAGGGUUAAAAUCACUGUCCAAAACCUUUGUAGGAACUCUUUUCCAACCUUUUGGAGUUAGUUAGACCAAAAAAUAUGAAAAAAGAAAAAAAUAUUAUUGGGGGUUUUCGGGCUCCCUGAAAGUAAUACCCGGGUAUUAGGUUUUGGGGCUAUGGUAAGGUUUAAGUUUUUUGGCGUUAGGGUUAAAAUCACUGUCCAAAACCUUUGUAGGAACUCUUUUCCAACCUUUUGGAGUUAGUAAGACCAAAAAAUAUGAAAAAAGAAAAAAAUAUUAUUGGGGGUGUUCAGGCUUCCUAAAAGUAAUACCCGGGUAUUAGGUUAUGGGGCUAUGGUAAGGUUUAACGUUUUGGCGUUAGGUUUAAAAUCACUGUCCAAAACCUUUGUAGGAACUCUUUUCCAACCUUUUGGAGUUAGUUAGACCAAAAAAAGAAUGAAAAAUGAAAAAAAAAUAUUUGGGGUUUACGGGCUUCCUGAAUGUAAUACCCGGGUAUUAGAUUUUAAGGCUAGGGUAAGGUUUAAGUUUUUUGGCAUUAGGGUUAAAAUCACUGUCCAAAACCUUUGUAGGAACUCUUUUCCAACCUUUUGGAGUUAGUUAGACCAAAAAAAAUGUAAAAUGAAAAAAAAAAUAUUUGGGGUGUUCGGGCUUCCUGAAUGUAAUACCCGGGUAUUAGAUUUUAAGGCCAGGGUAAGGUUUAAGUUUUUUGGCAUUAGGGUUAAAAUCACUGUCCAAAACCUUUGUAGGAACUCUUUUCCAACCUUUUGGAGUUAGUUAGACCAAAAAAAAAAAGAAAAAUGAAAAAAAAAAUAUUUGGGGUGUUCAGGCUUCCUAAAAGUAAUACCCGGGUAUUAGGUUAUGGGGCUAUGGUAAGGUUUAAGGUUUUUGGCGUUAGGGUUAAAAUCACUGUCCAAAACCUUUGUAGGAACUCUUUUCCAACCUUUUGGAGUUAGUUAGACCAAAAAAUAUGAAAAAAGAAAAAAAUAUUAUUGUGGGUUUUCGGGCUUCCUGAAGGUAAUACCCAGGUAUUAGGUUUUGGGACUGGGGAAAGGUUUAAGGUUUUUGGCGUUAGGGUUAAAAUCACUGUCCAAAACCUUUGUAGGAACUCUUUUCCAACCUUUUGGAGUUAGUUUGACCAAAAAAAAAAAGAAAAAUGAAAAAAAAUAUUUGGGGGUUUUCAGGCUUCCUAAAAGUAAUACCCAGGUAUUAGUUUUUGUGGCUAGGGUAAGGUUUAAGUUUUUUGGCGUUAGGGUUAAAAUCACUGUCCAAAACCUUUGUAGGAACUCUUUUCCAACCUUUUGGAGUUAGUUAGACCAAAAAAUAUGAAAAAUGAAAAAAUAUAUAUUUGGGGUUUUCGGGCUUCCUGAAUGUAAUACCCGGGUAUUAGAUAUUAAGGCUAGGGUAAGGUUUAAGUUUUUUGGCGUUAGGGUUAAAAUCACUGUCCAAAACCUUUGUAGGAACUCUUUUCCAACCUUUUGGAGUUAGUUAAACCAAAAAAAAAAGAAAAAUGAAAAAAUAUAAAUUUGGGGUUUUCGGGCUUCCUGAAUGUAAUACCCGGGUAUUAGAUUUUAAGGCUAGGGUAAGGUUUAAGUUUUUUGGCGUUAGGGUUAAAAUCACUGUCCAAAACCUUUGUAGGAACUCUUUUCCAACCUUUUGGAGUUGGUUAGACCAAAAAAUAUGAAAAAAGAAAAAAAUAUUAUUGUGGGUUUUCGGGCUUCCUGAAGGUAAUACCCAGGUAUUAGGUUUUGGGACUGGGGAAAGGUUUAAGGUUUUUGGCGUUAGGGUUAAAAUCACUGUCCAAAACCUUUGUAGGAACUCUUUUCCAACCUUUUGGAGUUAGUUUGACCAAAAAAAAAAGAAAAAUGAAAAAAAAAUAUUUGGGGAGUUCAGGCUUCCUAAAAGUAAUACCCAGGUAUUAGGUUUUGUGGCUAGGGUAAGGUUUAAGUUUUUUGGCAUAAGGGUUAAAAUCACUGUCCAAAACCUUUGUAGGAACUCUUUUCCAACCUUUUGGAGUUAGUUAGACCAAAAAAUAUGAAAAAAGAAAAAAUAUAUAUUUGGGGUUUUCGGGCUUCCUGAAUGUAAUACCCGGGUAUUAGAUAUUAAGGCUAGGGUAAGGUUUAAGUUUUUUGGCGUUAGGGUUAAAAUCACUGUCCAAAACCUUUGUAGGAACUCUUUUCCAACCUUUUGGAGUUAGUUAAACCAAAAAAAAAAGAAAAAUGAAAAAAUAUAAAUUUGGGGUUUUCGGGCUUCCUGAAUGUAAUACCCGGGUAUUAGAUUUUAAGGCUAGGGUAAGGUUUAAGUUUUUUGGCGUUAGGGUUAAAAUCACUGUCCAAAACCUUUGUAGGAACUCUUUUCCAACCUUUUGGAGUUGGUUACACCAACAAAAAUGUAAAAUGAAAAAAAAAUAUUUGGGGUGUUCGGGCUUCCUGAAGGUAAUACCCGGGUAUUAGAUUUUAAGGCUAGGGUAAGGUUUAAGGUUUUUGGCAUUAGGGUUAAAAUCACUGUCCAAAACCUUUGUAGGAACUCUUUUCCAACCUUUUGGAGUUGGUUACACCAACAAAAAUGUAAAAUGAAAAAAAUAUAUAUUUGGGGUGUUCAGGCUUCCUAAAAGUAAUACCCGGGUAUUAGGUUAUGGGGCUAUGGUAAGGUUUAAGGUUUUGGCGUUAGGUUUAAAAUCACUGUCCAAAACCUUUGUAGGAACUCUUUUCCAACCUUUUGGAGUUAGUUAGACCAAAAAAAGAAUGAAAAAUGAAAACAAAAAUAUUUGGGGUUUCCGGGCUUCCUGAAGGUAAUACAAGGGUAUUAUGUUAUGGGGCUAGAGUAAGGUUCAAGUUUUUUGGCGUUAGGGUUAAAAUCACUGUCCAAAACCUUUGUAGGAACUUCUUUCAAACCUUUUGGAGUUAGUUAGACCAAAGAAAAUGUAAAAUGAAGAAAAAAAUAUUUGGGGUGUUCAGGCUUCCUAGAAGUAAUACCCGGGUAUAAGAUUAUGGGGCUAUGGAAAGGUUUAAGGUUUUUGGUAUUAGGGUUAAAAUCACUGUCCAAAACCUUUGUAGGAACUCUUUUCCAACCUUUUGGAGUUGGUUACACCAACAAAAAUGUAAAAUGAAAACAGAUAUAAAUGGGGUUUUCGGGCUUCCUGAAGGGAAUACCCGGGUAUUAGGUUAUGGGGCUAUGGUAAGGUUUAAGGUUUUUGGCAUUAGGGUUAAAAUCACUGUCCAAAACCUUUGCAGGAACUCUUUUCCAACCUUUUGGAGUUGGUUACACCAACAAAAAUGUAAAAUGAAAAAAAUAUAUAUUUUGGUUGUUCGGGCUUCCUAAAAGUAAUACCCGGGUAUUAGGUUAUGGGGCUAUGGUAAGGUUUAAGGUUUUUGGCGUUAGGGUUAAAAUCACUGUCCAAAACCUUUGUAGGAACUCUUUUUCAACCUUUUGGAGUUAGUUAGACCAAAAAAAAAAUGAAAAAUGAAAAAAAAAUAUUUGGGGUUUACGGGCUUCCUGAAUGUAAUACCCGGGUAUUAGAUUUUAAGGCUAGGGAAAGGUUUAAGUUUUUUGGCGUUAGGGUUAAAAUCACUGUCCAAAACCUUUGUAGGAACUCUUUUCCAACCUUUUGGAGUUAGUUAGACCAAAAAAAAAGAAAAAUGAAAAAAAAAAUAUUUGGGGUGUUCAGGCUUCCUAAAAGUAAUACCCGGGUAUUAGGUUAUGGGGCUAUGGUAAGGUUUUAAGUUUUGGCGUUAGGUUUAAAAUCACUGUCCAAAACCUUUGUAGGAACUCUUUUCCAACCUUUUGGAGUUAGUUAGACCAAAAAAUAUGAAAAAAGAAAAAAAUAUUAUUGGGGGUUUUCGGGCUCCCUGAAAGUAAUACCCGGGUAUUAGGUUUUGGGGCUAUGGUAAGGUUUAAGUUUUUUGGCGUUAGGGUUAAAAUCACUGUCCAAAACCUUUGUAGGAACUCUUUUCCAACCUUUUGGAGUUAGUUAGACCAAAAAAAAAAGAAAAAUGAAAAAAAAAUAUUUGGGGUGUUCAGGCUUCCUAAAAGUAAUACCCGGGUAUUAGGUUAUGGGGCUAUGGUAAGGUUUAAGGUUUUUGGCGUUAGGGUUAAAAUCACUGUCCAAAACCUUUGUAGGAACUCUUUUCCAACCUUUUGGAGUUAGUUAGACCAAAAAAAAAUGAAAAAUGAAAAAAAAAAUAUUUGGGGUUUUCGGGCUUCCUGAAUGUAAUACCCGGGUAUUAGAUUUUAAGGCCAGGGUAAGGUUUAAGUUUUUUGGCGUUAGGGUUAAAAUCACUGUCCAAAACCUUUGUAGGAACUCUUUUCCAACCUUUUGGAGUUAGUUAGACCAAAAAAUAUGAAAAAUGAAAAAAAAAUAUUUGGGGUGUUCAGGCUUCCUAAAAGUAAUACCCGGGUAUUAGGUUAUGGGGCUAUGGUAAGGUUUAAGUUUUUUGGCGUUAGGGUUAAAAUCACUGUCCAAAACCUUUGUAGGAACUCUUUUCCAACCUUUUGGAGUUAGUUAGACCAAAAAAAAUGAAAAAUGAAAAAAAAUAUAUUUGGGGUGUUCAGGCUUCCUAAAAGUAAUACCCGGGUAUUAGGUUAUGGGGCUAUGGUAAGGUUUAAGGUUUUUGGCGUUAGGGUUAAAAUCACUGUCCAAAACCUUUGUAGGAACUCUUUUCCAACCUUUUGGAGUUAGUUAGACCAAAAAAAAUAUGAAAAAUGAAAAAAAAAAUAUUUGGGGUUUUCGGGCUUCCUGAAAGUAAUACCCGGGUAUUAGAUUUUAAGGCCAGGGAAAGGUUUAAGUUUUUUGGCGUUAGGGUUAAAAUCACUGUCCAAAACCUUUGUAGGAACUCUUUUCCAACCUUUUGGAGUUAGUUAGACCAAAAAGUAUGAAAAAAGAAAAAAAUAUUAUUGGGGGUUUUCGGGCUCCCUGAAAGUAAUACCCGGGUAUUAGGUUUUGGGGCUAUGGUAAGGUUUAAGUUUUUUGGCGUUAGGGUUAAAAUCACUGUCCAAAACCUUUGUAGGAACUCUUUUCCAACCUUUUGGAGUUAGUUAGACCAAAAAAUAUGAAAAAAGAAAAAAAUAUUAUUGGGGGUUUUCGGGCUUCCUGAAGGUAAUACCCAGGUAUUAGGUUUUGGGACUGGGGAAAGGUUUAAGGUUUUUGGCAUAAGGGUUAAAAUCCCUGUCCAAAACCUUUGUAGGAACACUUUUCCAACCUUUUGGAGUUAGUUAGACCAAAAAAAAAUGAAAAAUGAAAAAACAAUAUUUGGGGUUUUCGGGGUUCCUGAAUGUAAUACCCAGGUAUUAGGUUUUAAGGCUAGGGUAAGGUUUAAGUUUUUUGGCGUUAGGGUUAAAAUCACUGUCCAAAACCUUUGUAGGAACUCUUUUCCAACCUUUUGGAGUUAGUUAGACCAAAAAAAAAAUGAAAAAUGAAAAAACAAUAUUUGGGGUUUUCGGGGUUCCUGAAUGUAAUACCCGGGUAUUAGAUUUUAAGGCUAGGGUAAGGUUUAAGUUUUUUGGCAUCAGGGUUAAAAUCACUGUCCAAAACCUUUGUAGGAACUCUUUUCCAACCUUUUGGAGUUAGUUACACCAAAAAGUAUGAAAAAAGAAAAAAAUAUUAUUGGGGGUUUUCGGGCUCCCUGAAAGUAAUACCCGGGUAUUAGGUUAUGGGGCUAUGGUAAGGUUUAAGUUUUUUGGCGUUAGGGUUAAAAUCACUGUCCAAAACCUUUGUAGGAACUCUUUUCCAACCUUUUGGAGUUAGUUAGACCAAAAAAAAAAAAGAAAAAUGAAAAAAAAAUAUUUGGGGUGUUCAGGCUUCCUAAAAGUAAUACCCGGGUAUUAGGUUAUGGGGCUAUGGUAAGGUUUAAGUUUUUUGGCGUUAGGGUUAAAAUCACUGUCCAAAACCUUUGUAGGAACUCUUUUCCAACCUUUUGGAGUUAGUUAGACCAAAAAAUAUGAAAAAAGAAAAAAAUAUUAUUGGGGGUUUUCGGGGUUCCUGAAAGUAAUACCCGGGUAUUAGGUUUUGGGGCUAUGGUAAGGUUUAAGUUUUUUGGCGUUAGGGUUAAAAUCACUGUCCAAAACCUUUGUAGGAACUCUUUUCCAACCUUUUGGAGUUAGUUAGACCAAAAAAUAUGAAAAAAGAAAAAAAUAUUAUUGGGGGUUUUCGGGCUCCCUGAAAGUAAUACCCGGGUAUUAGGUUAUGGGGCUAUGGUAAGGUUUAAGUUUUUUGGCGUUAGGGUUAAAAUCACUGUCCAAAACCUUUGUAGGAACUCUUUUCCAACCUUUUGGAGUUAGUUAGACCAAAAAAAAAAGAAAAAUGAAAAAAAAAUAUUUGGGGUGUUCAGGCUUCCUAAAAGUAAUACCCGGGUAUUAGGUUAUGGGGCUAUGGUAAGGUUUAACGUUUUGGCGUUAGGUUUAAAAUCACUGUCCAAAACCUUUGUAGGAACUCUUUAACAACCUUUUGGAGUUAGUUAGACCAAAAAAAAAUGAAAAAUUAAAAAAAAUAUAUUUGGGGUGUUCAGGCUUCCUAAAAGUAAUACCCGGGUAUUAGGUUAUGGGGCUAUGGUAAGGUUUAAGGUUUUUGGCGUUAGGGUUAAAAUCACUGUCCAAAACCUUUGUAGGAACUCUUUUUCAACCUUUUGGAGUUAGUUAGACCAAAAAAAAAAAAAGAAAAAUGAAAAAAAAAAUAUUUGGGGUUUACGGGCUUCCUGAAUGUAAUACCCGGGUAUUAGAUUUUAAGGCCAGGGAAAGGUUUAAGUUUUUUGGCGUUAGGGUUAAAAUCACUGUCCAAAACCUUUGUAGGAACUCUUUUCCAACCUUUUGGAGUUAGUUAGACCAAAAAAUAUGAAAAAAGAAAAAAUAUUAUUGGGGGUUUUCGGGCUCCCUGAAAGUAAUACCCGGGUAUUAGGUUUUGGGGCUAUGGUAAGGUUUAAGUUUUUUGGCGUUAGGGUUAAAAUCACUGUCCAAAACCUUUGUAGGAACUCUUUUCCAACCUUUUGGAGUUAGUUAGACCAAAAAAUAUGAAAAAAGAAAAAAAUAUUAUUGGGGGUUUUCGGGCUCCCUGAAAGUAAUACCCGGGUAUUAGGUUUUGGGGCUAUGGUAAGGUUUAAGUUUUUUGGCGUUAGGGUUAAAAUCACUGUCCAAAACCUUUGUAGGAACUCUUUUCCAACCUUUUGGAGUUAGACCAAAAAAAAAUGAAAAAUGAAAAAACAAUAUUUGGGGUUUUCGGGCUUCCUGAAUGUAAUACCCGGGUAUUAGAUUUUAAGGCUAGGGUAAGGUUUAAGUUUUUUGGCGUUAGGGUUAAAAUCACUGUCCAAAACCUUUGUAGGAACUCUUUUCCAACCUUUUGGAGUUAGUUAGACCAAAAAAUAUGAAAAAAGAAAAAAAUAUUAUUGGGGGUUUUCGGGCUCCCUGAAAGUAAUACCCGGGUAUUAGGUUUUGGGGCUAGGGUAAGGUUUAAGUUUUUUGGCGUUAGGGUUAAAAUCACUGUCCAAAACCUUUGUAGGAACUCUUUUCCAACCUUUUGGAGUUAGUUAGACCAAAAAAAAAAAGAAAAAUGAAAAAAAAAUAUUUGGGGUGUUCAGGCUUCCUGAAGGUAAUACCCGGGUAUUAGAUUUCAAGGCUAGGGUAAGGUUUAAGGUUUUUGGCGUUAGGGUUAAAAUCACUGUCCAAAACCUUUGUAGGAACUCUUUUCCAACCUUUUGGAGUUAGUUAGACCAAAAAAUAUGAAAAAAGAAAAAAAUAUUAUUGGGGGUUUUUGGGCUCCCUGAAAGUAAUACCCAUGUAUUAGGUUUUGGGACUAGGGAAAGGUUUAAGGGUUUUGGCAUUAGGGUUAAAAUCACUGUCCAAAACCUUUGUAGGAACUCUUUUCCAACCUUUUGGAGUUAGUUAGACCAAAAAAAAAAAAGAAAAAUGAAAAAAAAAUAUUUGGGGUGUUCAGGCUUCCUAAAAGUAAUACCCGGGUAUUAGGUUAUGGGGCUAUGGUAAGGUUUAACGUUUUGGCGUUAGGUUUAAAAUCACUGUCCAAAACCUUUGUAGGAACUCUUUUUCAACCUUUUGGAGUUAGUUAGACCAAAAAAAAAAUGAAAAAUGAAAAAAAAAUAUUUGGGGUUUUCGGGCUUCCUGAAUGUAAUACCCGGGUAUUAGAUUUUAAGGCCAGGGAAAGGUUUAAGUUUUUUGGCGUUAGGGUUAAAAUCACUGUCCAAAACCUUUGUAGGAACUCUUUUCCAACCUUUUGGAGUUAGUUAGACCAAAAAAUAUGAAAAAAGAAAAAGAUAUUAUUGGGGGUUUUCGGGCUUCCUGAAAGUAAUACCCGGGUAUUAGGUUUUGGGGCUAUGGUAAGGUUUAAGUUUUUUGGCGUUAGGGUUAAAAUCACUGUCCAAAACCUUUGUAGGAACUCUUUUCCAACCUUUUGGAGUUAGUUAGACCAAAAAAAAAAGAAAAAUGAAAAAAAAAUAUUUGGGGUGUUCAGGCUUCCUAAAAGUAAUACCCGGGUAUUAGGUUAUGGGGCUAUGGUAAGGUUUAAGGUUUUUGGCGUUAGGGUUAAAAUCACUGUCCAAAACCUUUGUAGGAACUCUUUUCCAACCUUUUGGAGUUAGUUAGACCAAAAAAAAUGAAAAAUGAAAAAAAAAUAUUUGGGGUUUACGGGCUUCCUGAAUGUAAUACCCGGGUAUUAGAUUUUAAGGCCAGGGUAAGGUUUAAGUUUUUUGGCGUUAGGGUUAAAAUCACUGUCCAAAACCUUUGUAGGAACUCUUUUCCAACCUUUUGGAGUUAGUUAGACCAAAAAAUAUGAAAAAUGAAAAAAAAAAUAUUUGGGGUGUUCGGGCUUCCUAAAAGUAAUACCCGGGUAUUAGGUUAUGGGGCUAUGGUAAGGUUUAAAGUUUUUGGCGUUAGGUUUAAAAUCACUGUCCAAAACCUUUGUAGGAACUCUUUAAAAACCUUUUGGAUUUAGUUAGACCAAAAAAAAUGAAAAAUUAAAAAAAUAUAUUUGGGGUGUUCAGGCUUCCUAAAAGUAAUACCCGGGUAUUAGGUUAUGGGCCUAUGGUAAGGUUUAAGGUUUUUGGCGUUAGGGUUAAAAUCACUGUCCAAAACCUUUGUAGGAACUCUUUUCCAACCUUUUGGAGUUAGUUAGACCAAAAAAAAAUGAAAAAUGAAAAAAAAAAUAUUUGGGGUUUACGGGCUUCCUGAAUGUAAUACCCGGGUAUUAGAUUUUAAGGCCAGGGAAAGGUUUAAGUUUUUUUGCGUUAGGGUUAAAAUCACUGUCCAAAACCUUUGUAGGAACUCUUUUCCAACCUUUUGGAGUUAGUUAGACCAAAAAGUAUGAAAAAAGAAAAAAAAAUAUUAUUGGGGGUUUUCGGGCUCCCUGAAAGUAAUACCCGGGUAUUAGGUUUUGGGGCUAUGGUAAGGUUUAAGUUUUUUGGCGUUAGGGUUAAAAUCACUGUCCAAAACCUUUGUAGGAACUCUUUUCCAACCUUUUGGAGUUAGUUAGACCAAAAAAUAUGAAAAAAGAAAAAAAUAUUAUUGGGGGUUUCAGGGCUUCCUGAAGGUAAUACCCAGGUAUUAGGUUUUGGGACUGGGGAAAGGUUUAAGGUUUUUGGCGUUAGGGUUAAAAUCACUGUCCAAAACCUUUGUAGGAACUCUUUUCCAACCUUUUGGAGUUAGUUAGACCAAAAAAUAUGAAAAAUGAAAAAAUAUAUAUUUGGGGUUUUCCGGGCUUCCUGAAAGUAAUACCCGGGUAUUAGGUUUUGGGGCUAUGGUAAGGUUUAAGUUUUUUGGCGUUAGGGUUAAAAUCACUGUCCAAAACCUUUGUAGGAACUCUUUUCCAACCUUUUGGAGUUAGUUAGACCAAAAAAAAAUGAAAAAUGAAAAAACAAUAUUUGGGGUUUUCGGGGUUCCUGAAUGUAAUACCCGGGUAUUAGAUUUCAAGGCUAGGGUAAGGUUUAAGUUUUUUGGCGUUAGGGUUAAAAUCACUGUCCAAAACCUUUGUAGGAACUCUUUUCCAACCUUUUGGAGUUAGUUAGACCAAAAAGUAUGAAAAAAGAAAAAAAUAUUAUUGGGGGUUUUCGGGCUCCCUGAAAGUAAUACCCGGGUAUUAGGUUUUGGGGCUAGGGUAAGGUUUAAGUUUUUUGGCGUUAGGGUUAAAAUCACUGUCCAAAACCUUUGUAGGAACUCUUUUCCAACCUUUUGGAGUUAGUUAGACCAACAAAAAUGUAAAAUGAAGAAAAAAAUAUUUGGGGUGUUCAGGCUUCCUGAAGGUAAUACCCGGGUAUUAGAUUUCAAGGCUAGGGUAAGGUUUAAGGUUUUUGGCGUUAGGGUUAAAAUCACUGUCCAAAACCUUUGUAGGAACUCUUUUCCAACCUUUUGGAGUUAGUUAGACCAAAAAAUAUGAAAAAAGAAAAAAAUAUUAUUGGGGGUUUUUGGGCUCCUGAAAGUAAUACCCGUGUAUUAGGUUUUGGGACUAGGGAAAGGUUUAAGGGUUUUGGCAUUAGGGUUAAAAUCACUGUCCAAAACCUUUGUAGGAACUCUUUUCCAACCUUUUGGAGUUAGUUAGACCAAAAAAAAAAGAAAAAUGAAAAAAAAAUAUUUGGGGUGUUCAGGCUUCCUAAAAGUAAUACCCGGGUAUUAGGUUAUGGGGCUAUGGUAAGGUUUAACGUUUUGGCGUUAGGUUUAAAAUCACUGUCCAAAACCUUUGUAGGAACUCUUAUUCAACCUUUUGGAGUUAGUUAGACCAGAAAAAAAAAUGAAAAAUGAAAAAAAAAAUAUUUGGGGUAUACGGGCUUCCUGAAUGUAAUACCCGGGUAUUAGAUUUUAAGGCUAGGGAAAGGUUUAAGUUUUUUGGCGUUAGGGUUAAAAUCACUGUCCAAAACCUUUGUAGGAACUCUUUUCCAACCUUUUGGAGUUAGUUAGACCAAAAAAUAUGAAAAAAGAAAAAAAUAUUAUUGGGGGUUUUCGGGCUUCCUGAAAGUAAUACCCGGGUAUUAGGUUUUGGGGCUAUGGUAAGGUUUAAGUUUUUUGGCGUUAGGGUUAAAAUCACUGUCCAAAACCUUUGUAGGAACUCUUUUCCAACCUUUUGGAGUUAGUUAGACCAAAAAAAAAAAGAAAAAUGAAAAAAAAUAUUUGGGGUUUUCGGGCUUCCUGAAUGUAAUACCCUGGUAUUAGGAUUUUAAGGCUAGGGUAAGGUUUAAGUUUUUUGGCGUUAGGGUUAAAAUCACUGUCCAAAACCUUUGUAGGAACUCUUUUCCAACCUUUUGGAGUUAGUUAGACCAAAAAGUAUGAAAAAAGAAAAAAAAAUAUUUGGGGUGUUCAGGCUUCCUGAAAGUAAUACCCGGGUAUUAGGUUAUGGGGCUAUGGUAAGGUUUAACGUUUUGGCGUUAGGGUUAAAAUCACUGUCCAAAACCUUUGUAGGAACUCUUUUCCAACCUUUUGGAGUUAGUUAGACCAAAAAAAAUGAAAAAUGAAAAAAAUAUAUUUUGGGUGUUCAGGCUUCCUAAAAGUAAUACCUGGGUAUUAGGUUAUGGGGCUAUGGUAAGGUUUAAGGUUUUUGGCGUUAGGGUUAAAAUCACUGUCCAAAACCUUUGUAGGAACUCUUUUCAACCUUUUGGAGUUAGUUAGACCAAAAAAAUAUGAAAAAUGAAAAAAAAAAUAUUUGGGGUUUACGGGCUUCCUGAAUGUAAUACCCGGGUAUUAGAUUUUAAGGCCAGGGAAAGGUUUAAGUUUUUUGGCGUUAGGGUUAAAAUCACUGUCCAAAACCUUUGUAGGAACUCUUUUCCAACCUUUUGGAGUUAGUUAGACCAAAAAAUAUGAAAAAAGAAAAAAAUAUUAUUGGGGGUUUUCGGGCUCCCUGAAAGUAAUACCCGGGUAUUAGGUUUUGGGGCUAUGGUAAGGUUUAAGUUUUUUGGCGUUAGGGUUAAAAUCACUGUCCAAAACCUUUGUAGGAACUCUUUUCCAACCUUUUGGAGUUAGUUAGACCAAAAAAUAUGAAAAAAGAAAAAAAUAUUAUUGGGGGUUUUCGGGCUUCCUGAAGGUAAUACCCAGGUAUUAGGUUUUGGGACUGGGGAAAGGUUUAAGGUUUUUGGCAUAAGGGUUAAAAUCCCUGUCCAAAACCUUUGUAGGAACACUUUUCCAACCUUUUGGAAUUAGAUAAACCAAAAAAAUAUGAAAAAUGAAAAAAUAUAUAUUUGGGGUUUCCGGGCUUCCUGAAAGUAAUACCCGGGUAUUAGGUUUUGGGGCUAUGGUAAGGUUUAAGUUUUUUGGCGUUAGGGUUAAAAUCACUGUCCAAAACCUUUGUAGGAACUCUUUUCCAACCUUUUGGAGUUAGUUAGAACAAAAAAUAUGAAAAAAGAAAAAAAUAUUAUUGGGGGUUUUCGGGCUCCCUGAAAGUAAUACCCGGGUAUUAGGUUUUGGGGCUAUGGUAAGGUUUAAGUUUUUUGGCGUUAGGGUUAAAAUCACUGUCCAAAACCUUUGUAGGAACUCUUUUCCAACCUUUUGGAGUUAGUUAGACCAAAAAAAAAAUGAAAAAUGAAAAAACAAUAUUUGGGGUUUUCGGGGUUCCUGAAUGUAAUACCCGGGUAUUAGAUUUUAAGGCUAGGGUAAGGUUUAAGUUUUUUGGCAUUAGGGUUCAAAUCACUGUCCAAAACCUUUGUAGGAACUCUUUUCCAACCUUUUGGAGUUAGUUAGACCAAAAAGUAUGAAAAAAGAAAAAAAUAUUAUUGGGGGUUUUCGGGCUCCCUGAAAGUAAUACCCGGGUAUUAGGUUUUGGGGCUAUGGUAAGGUUUAAGUUUUUUGGCGUUAGGGUUAAAAUCACUGUCCAAAACCUUUGUAGGAACUCUUUUCCAACCUUUUGGAGUUAGUUAGACCAAAAAAAAAUGAAAAAUUAAAAAACAAUAUUUGGGGUUUUCGGGGUUCCUGAAUGUAAUACCCGGGUAUUAGAUUUUGAGGCUAGGGUAAGGUUUAAGUUUUUUGGCAUUAGGGUUAAAAUCACUGUCCAAAACCUUUGUAGGAACUCUUUUCCAACCUUUUGGAGUUAGUUACACCAAAAAGUAUGAAAAAAGAAAAAAAUAUUAUUGGGGGUUUUCGGGCUCCCUGAAAGUAAUACCCGGGUAUUAGGUUUUGGGGCUAGGGUAAGGUUUAAGUUUUUUGGCGUUAGGUUUAAAAUCACUGUCCAAAACCUUUGUAGGAACUCUUUAACAACCUUUUGGAUUUAGUUAGACCAAAAAAAAUGUAAAAUGAAGAAAAAAAUAUUUGGGGUGUUCAGGCUUCCUGAAGGUAAUACCCGGGUAUUAGAUUUCAAGGCUAGGGUAAGGUUUAAGGUUUUUGGCGUUAGGGUUAAAAUCACUGUCCAAAACCUUUGUAGGAACUCUUUUCCAACCUUUUGGAGUUAGUUAGACCAAAAAAUAUGAAAAAAGAAAAAAAUAUUAUUGGGGGUUUUUCGGGCUCCCUGAAAGUAAUACCCGGGUAUUAGGUUUUGGGACUAGGGAAAGGUUUAAGGGUUUGGCAUUAGGGUUAAAAUCACUGUCCAAAACCUUUGUAGGAACUCUUUUCCAACCUUUUGGAGUUAGUUAGACCAAAAAAUAUGAAAAAAGAAAAAAAUAUUAUUGGGGGUUUUCAGGCUUCCUAAAAGUAAUACCCAGGUAUUAGGUUUUGUGGCUAUGGGAAGGUUUAAGUUUUUUGGCGUUAGGGUUAAAAUCACUGUCCAAAACCUUUGUAGGAACUCUUUUCCAACCUUUUGGAGUUAGUUAGACCAAAAAAAAAAAAAAGAAAAAUGAAAAAAAAAUAUUUGGGGUGUUCAGGCUUCCCAAAAGUAAUACGUAUUAGGUUAUGGGGCUAUGGUAAGGUUUAACGUUUUGGCGUUAGGUUUAAAAUCACUGUCCAAAACCUUUGUAGGAACUCUUUUUCAACCUUUUGGAGUUAGUUAGACCAAAAAAAAAAAGAAAAAUGAAAAAAAAAUAUUUGGGGUGUUCAGGCUUCCUAAAAGUAAUACCCGGGUAUUAGGUUAUGGGGCUAUGGUAAGGUUUAAGUUUUUUGGCGUUAGGGUUAAAAUCACUGUCCAAAACCUUUGUAGGAACUCUUUUCCAACCUUUUGGAGUUAGUUAGACCAAAAAAAAAAUGGAAAAUGAAAAAAAAAAUAUUUGGGGUUUACGGGCUUCCUGAUUGU
Molecule: long non-coding RNA, 17149 nt
Filed under: Xyrichtys novacula (pearly razorfish)
Lineage: Eukaryota; Metazoa; Chordata; Actinopteri; Labriformes; Labridae
Source: RNAcentral